AAGUCGUAACAAGGUUUCCGUAGGUGAACCUGCGGAAGGAUCAUUAAAGAGUAUGAGGUCUUCAUGGCCCGACCUCCAACCCUCUGUUGUUAUAACUAACCUUGUUGCUUUGGCGGGACCGUCUCGGUCUCCGAGCGCCACUUAACCCUGCGGGUUGGUGAGCGCCCGCCCAGAGUCCAACCCAAAACUCUUGUAUUAAACCAGUACGUCUGAGUAUAAAAAUUUUUAAUUAAAAUUAAAAA
Molecule: unclassified non-coding RNA, 242 nt
Filed under: plant metagenome
Description: partial contains small subunit ribosomal RNA and internal transcribed spacer 1
Rfam family: Eukaryotic small subunit ribosomal RNA (bases 1-46)
Source: RNAcentral